Molecule: long non-coding RNA, 243 nt
Filed under: Zostera marina
Lineage: Eukaryota; Viridiplantae; Streptophyta; Magnoliopsida; Alismatales; Zosteraceae
Description: long non-coding RNA (ZMAR_LNC000345)
Source: RNAcentral
GUAUUUGGGGUUCAAAAUCACAAUAUCAAUAAAAUAAAAAUGCUAGGUUUUUGCCUUAUCUUCUACGGAUGUCUUCUCCGAUUUGACAACUUCAUCUGAAUCGCUCGGAACACCUUUGUCCACCGGUAACAUCCUUUUCAUGUCUGCUAGCAUCUCUGAUAGUAACACUCUGAGGUACAAAGCAAGAGACAGAAAGCGCCUCUUGCUCCGGUUCUGAAGAAAAGUAAUUAUGAAAACUCGUAG